Long non-coding RNA from Mauremys mutica (yellowpond turtle), 1469 nucleotides. RefSeq lists it as uncharacterized. Lineage: Eukaryota; Metazoa; Chordata; Testudines; Geoemydidae. The record is from RefSeq and is a predicted model, not a curated record. The transcript has 3 exons.
UCUGGCACAGUCAUGACACAGAGGGUAUCUGUGUUUUAUAAUCCUGUCCUAUCAUGUGACAAAGUUAAUAGUCACUGGUUACUGCAGCUACUGUUACACACUUUUAAUUAACUGAGGAAACUGAGCAAAUCGAAACAGUCAAAAGUAGUUUAAAAUAUUGUACAGUUAUCUACUUCUCUUUUGCUAUAAUCACUGUUACUAAGAAGACUACAAUUUCCAUAGCUAAUCAUAUAGCAGAAUUGGGGGAUAAAACAAACAGUUAAGUUUUGCCAUCUGUCUUUUGAAGGUAGUUACAAAGCAUUUUCAUGCACAAUAGUAACAAUAAAUUUAUCAGAUAGGCACAGAUUUUUUACAGUUUGAUAUAUUCUUUUUAUAACUUUUGUGUGGCAGCCUUUUCAUACUCAACCAAGGGAUUUUUUUUCUAAUAAAGCACUGCAUCCAAAUCCUGAAAGAAGCUGAAUCAUUUCAGAAGGCAAUGCAGUUAUUUUUCAUGUCCCUGCCUCAUUUCAAGUGAAUAUUUUAGAAACCACUAGGGCCGCAUCUUUCUUUGUCAUGUUAAUCUUGGUUAUGAAUCUGAUUUGCAUAUAGGUUUGGAUUGUCAACUACUCUGUUAGCACUUUAUUAAUGUAUUUACAUUCCUUUUAUAUAAAAGAGAAAAUCAAAAACAGCAAAAGUGCAUUAUCUUUUUAGUCACAGGAUAAUAUUUUAAAACCAGAUUAGUGUUUUUAAUCCCAAUGGAAAUCAGAAGUGAGGCAAAAUGAAGUUCUUGGCCAUCAGUGUGCCAAACAGGGCAAUGUAAGCCUCUCUGCUCAGCAAGCUUUCCUUCCUCCUUCAGUUUUAUUAAAUUCUCUGGGCCCAUGGGUCUAUGGAUAGUGUAAUUAAAUUCAGAUAAGAAAAAACACAGUAUUUUACACGCAUCCAUUCACUUCACCUUUUAAUGUGUAAUUCUCUCUGCAAAGUGAGAGGAAGCCCUGAACCAUGAUGACCUCAUCUGAUGGAGGCUGAUUUCCAAUGGCAUUUGGUGAGGUGGGCGAUCCUAGAGAGGUGCCCCCUCAACACCCGCUGAAAGACUAACCUUCAUCAGGAGAAGAAAGGCACAUUUUCAGAGCUUCUCCAGUCCUCAGAGACUGCUGACCUGGAGAAUAGGCCAGCAUGGAGGGACCUCAUGCUGGAGACAAGGUUGAGUGACCAGGAUUGGAAGGACCACAUGCUGAUGGAAAGGCAGAAGGACGCAAGUGCACUGAGAUGUGCACGAAGACAUUAUGCAGCUCUUCAAGCAAUACAAAUAGAUUUUGCAUAGUAUUAUGGAGCAAAGUGCCCCAAACCUCCUCCCAGCAGCCAUUGCGCUUCAUUGACUAUUCAGUGUUCACAGGAACGUACAGCACUCCUCUCUCCCUCAAGGGGACAUUUUGGAAAACUGGGACUCUGAUUUCUCCCCACCUCUGUACACAUUGGCUGCCCCCUGCUGU